CAGCCGCCGCGGUAAUACGAGGGGUGCAAGCGUUAUUCGGAUUGAUUGGGUGUAAAGGGUGUGCAGACGGCUUAUUAAGUCACUUGUUAAAUUCUUCGGCCUAACUGAAGGUCUGCAAGUGAUACUGAUGAGCUAGAGGGUGGAAGAGAGAAGUGGAAUUCUCGGAGUAGCGGUAAAAUGCGUAGAUCUCGAGAGGAACACCAAUGGCGAAGGCAGCUUCUUGGUCCAUUCCUGACGUUCAUACACGAAAGCGUGGGGAGCAAACAGGAUUAGAUACCCGCGUAGUCCCUGUCUCUUAUAU
Molecule: ribosomal RNA, 301 nt
Filed under: uncultured bacterium
Lineage: Bacteria
Description: partial 16S ribosomal RNA
Rfam family: Bacterial small subunit ribosomal RNA
Source: RNAcentral